UGAAUGGUGGUGGGGGCGGCGGGGGAUGGCGGAGGGGUCGAGUGUUGUCGGGGGUGUCUGGUCGGAAAGGGUUGGUAGUUGGGUUGUCGCGUCGUUUGGGAAAUUCCGGGGGUUAACUGCGGGCGGGCAGGCGAUACGGGCAAUACUUGAGUGCUGUAGGGGAGACUGGAAUUCCUGGUGUAGCGGUGGAAUGCGCAGAUAUCAGGAGGAACACCGAUGGCGAAGGCAGGUCUCUGGGCAGUAACUGACGCUGAGGAGCGAAAGCAUGGGUAGCGAACAGGAUUAGAUACCCCUGUAGUC
This 300-nucleotide ribosomal RNA is filed under the name uncultured bacterium. RNAcentral describes it as "bacterial SSU rRNA". The stretch from base 58 to 300 matches the Rfam family "Bacterial small subunit ribosomal RNA", at positions 554 to 795 of the family's 1533-position model. The record is from RNAcentral.